Eucalyptus grandis is the source of this 804-nucleotide long non-coding RNA. RefSeq lists it as uncharacterized. The transcript is spliced from 3 exons. The record is from RefSeq and is a predicted model, not a curated record. Lineage: Eukaryota; Viridiplantae; Streptophyta; Magnoliopsida; Myrtales; Myrtaceae.
GAGAAAGCAUAUGAUUAUUUGUCAAUCGGGGACGCCUGGCAAAUGUUCCUCUUCUCCUGCGACCAAGAACUCGCGGUAUAUAUCAUGGAGACUGAUGUUAAACUUGCACUUACCACAUCUAUGUGUCAUUUGGCCCUUGCUGUGGCUCUGCUGAGUUUGAACUUGAAAAGGUGUGCUCAGUAAGGAAACCUCAUGCUUUAAAAAGUGCUUCAUAGUGUGUGGAAGGAUACAUCCACGUAAAAGCUGUAUUGUGGAGCCUGAACAAUUACAUAUGUUAUCUUUUGGAAUGCAGGAUUAUCCCAAGUGGCAAAUGAAGAGUGGGUCUGUAUAUUUUCAAUGGAAAUGGAUAAUGACAGUCAAUGCACGAGGGUGUGAAUUUGAAUCUGUUUGCUGCAUCUUCAUUGUAACAGGUGAAGAUACUCUAAACAUUAGUAUGAUGGAUUUUCCAGUUGCCUUCUUCAGUUUCCAUUUCUCAGGAAGCUUCCAAUUAUGAUGAGCUCUCCAUGAAACAGAGAGCUUGAACAUCCGAAUAGCUGAAGUACCCAUCGGAACCAGAUGAUCCACUUCAAUAUAUACUCAUGCUGAGAGGAAUAGGAGAACUGAUAUCGAGCUUUAUUCAUGCAAAAACAAACGUCUCUUCAAGGCCUUGCUUAGCAUGCGGAAGUCAAGAAAGGACAGCAAGUUAUCGAAGUUCCUGGACGAGCGCUAAGAAGAACAGGGGAUGAAAGAAAACGGAUAGGCCCAUUAUCACGGUUUCUUUGCACCGCAAGUAUGACCUAUGCUGUAUUUGUUAUGGUAACUUAA